RNAcentral lists this ribosomal RNA (429 nucleotides) under uncultured bacterium. Its description in RNAcentral is "bacterial SSU rRNA". It matches the Rfam family "Bacterial small subunit ribosomal RNA", at positions 355 to 776 of the family's 1533-position model. The record is from RNAcentral.
UGGGGAAUAUUGGACAAUGGGCGAAAGCCUGAUCCAGCAAUGCCGCGUGUGUGAAGAAGGCCUUCGGGUUGUAAAGCACUUUUAGUGGGGAAGAAAAAGUCGAAGAUAAUAUCUUCGAAAAUUGACGUUACCCACAGAAAAAGCACUGGCUAACUCUGUGCCAGCAGCCGCGGUAAUACAGAGAGUGCGAGCGUUAAUCAGAAUUACUGGGCGUAAAGCGCAUGUAGGUGGAUAACUAAGUCGAAUGUGAAAGCCCCGGGCUUAACUUGGGAAUUGCAUCCGAUACUGGUUGUCUAGAGUAUGGUAGAGGGAAGUGGAAUUUCCGGUGUAGCGGUGAAAUGCGUAGAUAUCGGAAGGAACACCAGUGGCGAAAGCGGCUUCCUGGACUAAUACUGACACUGAGAUGCGAAAGCGUGGGGAGCAAACAGG